This 2681-nucleotide long non-coding RNA is filed under the name Nicotiana benthamiana. RNAcentral's name for it is "long non-coding RNA (NBEN_LNC023120)". The record is from RNAcentral. Lineage: Eukaryota; Viridiplantae; Streptophyta; Magnoliopsida; Solanales; Solanaceae.
AGGAUAAAAAGAACGACCACCCGCCCCCCCACCCUUCGAAGCUCCGUCUUCUCCACAGCAAACCCCAAUAGCCGGACCUCCCUCCACCACUCUGCUUUUUCGUCUUAUUUACAGACCCCAUGGGUCUGAUUCUUCUCCAUUCGAACACCAAACAAAUAUAGAGACUAAAACAAGCCAGUGGCAGAACCAAAUCACGACCCCUCCCCAUCGCCGGAAAAAAACGAGCUCCCGCAGUUCGCCGGAUCGACGAGCUCCAGCUGCGACAAACAGAACCAAACAACCCAUAGCAGCAGUUCGCCCUCCUGAACGUUGUCUUCUUCGUAGAAACUUGAUGCUGGAAAACGCCCAGAAGCCCCUUCGUCCACAACAACAGCCGCGGAUUUCUCUUUUUUUUUAAAACAACGUUAGACCUGGUUCGGUUCAUCAAUCAGGCGUCGAGGUGAUACUGGUUUCGAGGCCUGGUCGUGAUUCCGUCGAAGGUCAAUAAAUUUCCGGUCGAGGUCGUUGGUGUAUUUCCCAUCCGGUCAGUUGUUACAGCUUCGUUUUUCUGUCCGUGUUUCAACUUGUGCAAAUUUCUGAUUUGAAAACAGUGCAUAUGUUUGAUUUGUUCACUUGGUUAUCUCCUAUUUUACUGUUUAUGGGAUUAUAGAAUUGUGUUUUUUUUAUGAUGGUCCAAAAAUCAGUGGGAUCGAGUUAGCUAGCUGAUUUUGAUUUAGAUAAUAUAGUAAUCUACUUGUGCUUUCGUUUGGUGUUCUUAUAUAUUCCCAUAGUAUGAUCGUUUUGGAAUCAAGUGGCUCUUAUUGUGAAUAUGAGUGAAUCAGCGGGGCAGAGGCUUGGAAUUGGUAUAGAAAUACAUUGCUUGUUGCUUUCAAGAGUUGGAUUCUAUGAGUUGUUGAACAAAUCUGUGAAUAAUCGUGACCAAAAAUUGAUGUUCGUUUGUUAAUGAUUGAGAUUAUAGUGUUGGCAUAACUAUUUCCUUAUUCAGUCAUAAGAAUUAAUAGGUUUGAAGUGGCUGCGGCUCUGAAACGCAAUAGGGGCUACAUUUACAAUGGGAUAAAAUGGCUAAAAUCAUUUUUAUGUGUUAACAGGCCGUUUUUCCGUCUGAUUGUCCAUCUGAUUGUUGGAAGUGAGAGUUGUAGGAAUUAAGUUUAUGUAUAUUAGCCUAAUUUCAGUUGUUGUAGCAUCUCAAUGGCUUUCUCUGCAUAUUAGUUCAAAUUGCUAGUUUUAUAGAAAAUUUAAGGUGCGCCGUGCCAAAUAAAAAUAACAAAUGCAUGGCACCCGUGUUAAUGUAGAUAUGAAAUUGAUUAAUAUUCGUAGCGAGCCUUCAGGGCCGUUUAAAAUACAAUUGUGGUUGCGUAUACGUUCGCGUAACACGACCAUGAUUCUAAAUUUGGAGUUUGCGUCGGCCAAUCUUUUCUUAAUAAUAAAAUAUCUUAUAAGUUUUAAUUAUUUUUUAGUUUAUCUAAGUUCAUUGAAAUCACAUAUGUUCGCGCAACUUCGACCAAUCUUUUCUUAAUAAUAAAAUAGGUUACAAGUUUUAAUUAUUUUUAGUUUACACAAGUUCAUUAAAUCGCAUGGGGCCUUAGUAAUUUCAUAAAUUAGAUACAAGAUUGACACAAUUUCGUAGCAUAUCCUUUAGGGCCGUUUAAAUUACUAGCGCGAUUGCGUAUAUGUCCGUGUAACACAAUUACUCUUCUAAAAACAAAACUAGAGUGUGCGUUUGCAACUUUGGCCCAAAUUUUCUUAAUAAUAGCAUUAUUAAUUAUGGACACGUUCGCGUGACAUGAUUUUUGAUUCAUUAUAAUAUUGAACGAAGAGGGGGAACAGAGCCCUCCGUUUUUCUGUUUGUGAGAUAGGCUGAUAGGAGAGACACACCCUUCAGAGACAAAAUAAGAGCAGUGAGUCUUUGUGGAUAAGUACCAAGAGAUUGGAAUUGCAUUGCAUUGUCAAAAAAGACCAUAAUAUUCCUGUAGUACAACUGUUCUAAACUGUGAGGGAUAGAAACUAGAUAUAUGUUUUUUUGCAUCCAAGGGUGUGGCCUAGUAGUAUACUAGUUGUCAAUGAAGUAGGCAGAGAAUUAUGGGGUGUUAGGUUCAAAUUCCAUCAGAGACGAAAAGCAAAAGGUGUGCUAGUGAGAUAUAGAAGGUGCUGGUGGAAUAUUCAGCUGCCCGCAAGCAGGCUUGGACACUGCUGUCAUCCAGAAAGGAACUAGAUUUAUGUUCUCUUGCCAUGUUUUUUCCCUUUUGGCUUUAUGUUUCAACUUUGUUAUGCCGAUGCACUUCAAUAUUUGUUCUCUAGACGUCCUUUGCUCUUCUUCUUUUCAUUGCAUUUAAACCUAUUUUUCCUUGUAAUUAUUAAAAAUCGUUUACAGUUAAGGAGAACAUUGUAUGACAGUAUAGCAUAAAGUACGAUCAUGGCUGUUGAGGCUUUUUCCAAAACAAAGUUGAUGGCUGAAGUUGAUGAUGAUGAUGAUGAUGAUAUGCCCUUAGUUUUCAAACGAAGUAGUACCACAUCAAAGCAGAAUCAGUCAAAUUCAUCAUCUCAGAAGCAGGUUGGACGAUCGGGGCGGCAAGUUUCUGAUGUACGUUCUCCUAAUGGCCAGAACUCUAGUGCUCAGAAAGUUAAGGCAGGCACCUCUUCUAAGGCUUCUCCAGCAGUUUCACCUUUCACUAGUCCAAAAG